RNAcentral lists this ribosomal RNA (451 nucleotides) under uncultured bacterium. Its description in RNAcentral is "bacterial SSU rRNA". It matches the Rfam family "Bacterial small subunit ribosomal RNA", at positions 28 to 507 of the family's 1533-position model. The record is from RNAcentral.
GAUGAACGCUGGCGGCGUGCUUAACACAUGCAAGUCGAACGCACAUAUCUUUCGGGGUGUGUGAGUGGCAGACGGGUGCGUAACACGUAGGUGACCUGCCUUCAAGUGGGGAAUAACUGUCCUAACGGAUGGCUAAUACCGCAUAUGUUCCCGGCGUCGAGUCGGGAGUAAAGCCUUCGGGCGCUUGGAGAUGGGCCUGCGGCGGAUUAGCUAGUUGGUGGGGUAACGGCCUACCAAGGCGAUGAUCCGUAGGGGGCGUGAGAGCGUGGCCCCCACACUGGCACUGAGAUACGGGCCAGACUCCUACGGGAGGGCAGCAGUGAGGAAUAUUGCACAAUGGGCGCAAGCCUGAUGCAGCAACGCCGCGUGCGGGACGAAGGCCUUCGGUCGUAACCGCUUUCUGGGAAGAGCAGGACGGUACCGUCAGGAAUAAGUCUCGGCUAACUACGUG